GAAAUGCGAUAAGUAAUGUGAAUUGCAGAAUUCAGUGAAUCAUCGAAUCUUUGAACGCACCUUGCGCUCCUUGGUAUUCCGAGGAGCAUGCCUGUUUGAGUGUCAUUAAAUUCUCAACCCCUCCAGCUUUUGCGAGUUGUGAUGGGGCUUGGAUAUGGGAGUUUGCGGGUCUUUAUCAAUAAAGGUCAGCUCUCCUGAAAUGCAUUAGCGGAACCGUUUGCAGUCCCGUCACUAGUGUGAUAAUUAUCUACACUGUGAUGAUUGCUCUCUGACUAGUUCAGCUGCUAAUCGUCCACUAUGGACAAUACUUAAUGAACUUCUUGACCUCAAAUCAGGUAGGACUACCCGCUGAACUUAA
This 358-nucleotide unclassified non-coding RNA is filed under the name uncultured Lycoperdon. Its description in RNAcentral is "sequence contains ITS1". The stretch from base 1 to 105 matches the Rfam family "5.8S ribosomal RNA", at positions 50 to 154 of the family's 154-position model. The record is from RNAcentral. Lineage: Eukaryota; Fungi; Basidiomycota; Agaricomycetes; Agaricales; Lycoperdaceae.